CCUAGUGAGUCCUCCGGGGAGUGGCCAGUGGGGCCAGGCCCCAGGUCAUGGCUGGGCGGAGCCGUCCUGUAGUCCCAGGCAAGGACAGAAGCGUUCUUUCUGUCUCCACUUAAACUCUGCUCAACACAGAUGUUCUGUGCUCGUUUUGAUUUUUUUCACGUUGCCUUUAGAUAGGACUCACAUCGGCAGCUACGGUGCUUGGCACCUCCCUGGCACUGGGCACAGAGAGAAGCAUGUUGCUCUGCCUGCCUGCGCUGGCUCUGCCUGUGGGCGGUGAACAGCUGGGGCCCUCAGCAGGGAUGGAGACAAGUGCCCCCUGAUGCUGGCCUGAGCCUCGUCCCAAGGGCCACAUGGCUCAGCUGCCGAGGGUAAGGCCAGGUCCUCUGGUCUCAGGUGCUCACACUCCCGUACCCCCACCCCUGUGGGCCGAGAGUCCUGGGGGCCCUGGGGCAUGGAGGGCCAGACAAAGUCUUCAGGGUGAGCCAGGCCUGGGUCUGCACAACUGAACCAGGAAGAUUGAGACGGGGGAGCUACAGCGCCAGGGCCCUCAGGGCCACGUCACACCUGCGUUCGGGGCCCUGUGUGAGUGUGCUGCAGCUGCCCUAGGAGGCGUCACAGACUUGGAAGCUUAAAACACACUAAUGCAUCAUCUUGAGGUUCUGGAGGCCAGAAGUCUGCACUGUGUCUCGCUGAGCUAAAGCCAAGGAGAGCCCGGUGGUGCCUGUGCUGGACUUAGAAGAACAGGUGGGGGCUUCAGUGAAGCCGCCCUCCAGCUUCCUCUGACUGGCGGCUCUUCUCCCACCUUCAAGGGAGGCGUGGGUGGUCCGGUCUCCCAUCACCCCUCUGGCUGUCGCUCUCCUGCCCCUGACCCUGGAUGAGGCAGGAUCAUCUCCCUUAGGCCAGCAAUCCAGGGAAACCAGCCUUCUUCCCUCUGCCAGUGGAAGUCUGGACACAAGAGAGACACCAGGAAUACAGGAACGCAGGGAAAGACCACGUGGGGACUCAGCAACAAGACGCCCUGCCAGCCAUGCGGAGCGGCCUCACGAGGAACCUGCCCUCUCACGUCUUCACCUUGGACUUUUAGCCUUCAGAACAAUAAAAAAUAAAGUUCUGCUUAAGCCGA
Long non-coding RNA from Marmota monax (woodchuck), 1123 nucleotides. RefSeq lists it as uncharacterized. The transcript is spliced from 2 exons. NCBI's taxonomy places the organism in Eukaryota, Metazoa, Chordata, Mammalia, Rodentia, Sciuridae. The record is from RefSeq and is a predicted model, not a curated record.